AGAGAUGUGUGAUGACGCAUAUCAAUAAGCGGAGGAAAAGAAACUAACAAGGAUUCCCUUAGUAACGGCGAGUGAAGCGGGAAGAGCUCAAAUUUGAAAUCUUCAAGGUUCUACCUUGACGAAUUGUAGUUUAUAGAAGUGUUUUCUGUUAGUAGAGUGGCAAAAGUUCUUUGGAAUAGGACAUCAUAGAGGGUGAGAAUCCCGUAUUUGGUCAUUCUUUCUAGCUUUGUGAUACACUUUCAACGAGUCGGAUUGUUUGGGAAUGCAGUCCAAAAUGGGUGGUAAAUUUCAUCUAAAGCUAAAUAUUGGCGAGAGACCGAUAGCGAACAAGUACCGUGAGGGAAAGAUGAAAAGAACUUUGAAAAGAGAGUUAAACAGUACGUGAAAUUGUCAAAAGGGAAGCGUUUGACACCAGUGUUGUUUUUCCGAAAAUCAAUUACGAAUGUUUUAGUUUUUGAGGAGUUAUGACUUCAUCGGCUCGCUUCUCUUCUUUAUGAAACUUUCUUAAUGCACUUUUCGGUUAACAAGUCAACAUCAAUUUCUUUUGUUGUAAAAGGGUAUGAGGAAGGUGGCUUUCUUUUCGGAGAAAGUGUUUAUAGCCUUGUACCUCUGCAAUCGGAGAGAUUGAGGUCUGCAGCGUAGAUCCUUCGGGGUUAGAUACGUUUGUGCUAAGUUAUAGCUUUUCAUAGACAACUUGUUGACUAUGUUUAGUCUUGUAGCUUACUCGCUGACGCUAUUUUACCUACGCUUAGGAUGUUGAUAGUCACAGCGUGUAC
Molecule: ribosomal RNA, 776 nt
Filed under: uncultured Neocallimastigales
Lineage: Eukaryota; Fungi; Neocallimastigomycota; Neocallimastigomycetes; Neocallimastigales
Description: partial large subunit ribosomal RNA
Rfam family: Eukaryotic large subunit ribosomal RNA
Source: RNAcentral